This is a long non-coding RNA of Nicotiana attenuata, 1008 nucleotides long. RefSeq lists it as uncharacterized. Lineage: Eukaryota; Viridiplantae; Streptophyta; Magnoliopsida; Solanales; Solanaceae. The record is from RefSeq and is a predicted model, not a curated record. The transcript has 2 exons.
AACACCAAGUUCACUAGGACCCGCGCUACCCCACUCUUUUGUCCUCAUUUACCACAAUCAAAUAUUUCCUUGUUCUUUCUCUAUCCUCCUUUUCUAUGGCAGAGAUUUCCUUGUAGCCAUAGGCAUUUUUGGUCAAAGCAAGAUGCCAAACAACUUUUGAGAAAACCUUCAAGCGUUUGCAGAUUCUGCACCCUUUUUGUGCAAAUAACAUCUCUUUCUUUUCUCUUCCGCAUUUGUGCUCGAUGCCCUGCGAAUCUUUAAUGUCUCAGUCAAAAAUCUCACCAACUCGGGUAAGAACAGAGCAAAUCACGUGAAUCCGUCCAAAAUUCAACGUUCGGAUUCAAACGGGUAUGUUGACAGAAAUUAAAAAAUUUGAAUUUCAAAAUCAGGAGCAUGAACCCUACUUCUUCACCUAUAAAUACUUGCAUUUGGACUAUAUUGGGGCAGAGCUUUUGGAGCCGUUACACCUCUCUUAAAACCCACAAGCUUCAGCUCCCUCCUUUAACCCUUGUUUAGCCGCCAUUCAUACCUCUCAAAAUUUCCUUUAAAUCUCUCAGUCAUAUUGGUUUUUAACCAAACCAGAAGCAUUUCUAUUUAUUUUCCCUGCCGAUUAACGUUGGUUCAAGGUAGCGAGUCCGAGGUCGGAGUUUGAUAGUGCACCUUAGAUACCCGCCUCAGUUCGCUGCCCCGCAAAAGCAAAUGGAGUCUUAAUUCGAAACUCUUGCAAUGAAGUCUCAUAGUGAGGCUCGACGCUACCACCACUGCCAUCUCAUAGAGUCAUCACAUAUUAUCUUCCUUAGGUGUAUCAGGCAUCAAGAAAAACAAGCCUAAUGCUUGGGGAUGCCUAUGGCAUCCUUUUCUUUUACUAUCUAUUGUAUCUAAUAUUUUAUGAUUGUUGAUUUAUUUGUUUGUUUGGUGUGCAUCUCAACUGUGGAUUUAAUCAUCUAGGUUCUUUGUUCUCUAGUACUUAUAUAAUCUUUAGGUAUUUAACAUCACUAAUUUAGUAAC